RNAcentral lists this ribosomal RNA (253 nucleotides) under uncultured bacterium. RNAcentral describes it as "partial 16S ribosomal RNA". It matches the Rfam family "Bacterial small subunit ribosomal RNA", at positions 524 to 776 of the family's 1533-position model. The record is from RNAcentral.
GACAGAGGGUGCAAACGUUGCUCGGAAUUACUGGGCGUAAAGCGCGUGUAGGUGGACUGGUGUGUCAGAUGUGAAAUCCCUGGGCUCAACCCAGGAACUGCACCUGAAACUACCAGCCUUGAGUGGUGGAGAGGGAAGUGGAAUUCCUGGUGUAGAGGUGAAAUUCGUAGAUAUCAGGAGGAACACCAGUGGCGAAGGCGGCUUCCUGGACAACAACUGACGCUGAGACGCGAAAGCGUGGGGAGCAAACAGG